RNAcentral lists this ribosomal RNA (254 nucleotides) under uncultured bacterium. RNAcentral describes it as "partial 16S ribosomal RNA". It matches the Rfam family "Bacterial small subunit ribosomal RNA", at positions 524 to 776 of the family's 1533-position model. The record is from RNAcentral.
UACGUAGGGUGCAAGCGUUGUCCGGAAUUAUUGGGCGUAAAGAGCUCGUAGGCGGCCACCGCAAGUCGACUGUGAAAUCUCCGGGCUUAACCCGGAAAGGUCAGCCGAUACUGCGGGGCUAGAGUGCAGAAGGGGCAACUGGAAUUCUCGGUGUAGCGGUGAAAUGCGUAGAUAUCGAGAGGAACACCUGCGGCGAAGGCGGGUUGCUGGGCUGACACUGACGCUGAGGCGCGAAAGCUAGGGGAGCGAACGGG